This 348-nucleotide ribosomal RNA is filed under the name Triticum aestivum (bread wheat). RNAcentral's name for it is "partial small subunit ribosomal RNA". Lineage: Eukaryota; Viridiplantae; Streptophyta; Magnoliopsida; Poales; Poaceae. The record is from RNAcentral.
AUGUUACUACAAAAUAAAUUAAUUAGAGUGAGAGAGGGUCAUGUAAUUCCACCUACAGAAGAGUUGGGUAGGAGAGCUUAUUGCAAGUGGCACAAUUCUUUCUCCCAUGCUACUAAUGAUUGUAACAUGUUUCAUCAACAGGUGCAAUCGGCCAUUAAUGAAGGACGAUUGACGUUUACAGAAAGUUCUAAGAUGAAGCUCGAUAGUGACACUUUUCCUAUCAAUGUGGUCGAGCUUGAGAGUAAGAAAAUGCUUAUUCGGUCGGAUCAGAUCGAAUCCGCAAGAAAGAAAAAUGUUGUUGAUGAUAAUGCUUCUCCAAGGAUGAUCAAACAAAAAAUACAGAAUUAG